GGUGAACGCUGGCGGUAGGCCUAACACAUGCAAGUCGAACGGCAGCACAGGAGAGCUUGCUCUCUGGGUGGCGAGUGGCGGACGGGUGAGGAAUACAUCGGAAUCUACUUUUUCGUGGGGGAUAACGUAGGGAAACUUACGCUAAUACCGCAUACGACCUACGGGUGAAAGCAGGGGACCUUCGGGCCUUGCGCGAUUGAAUGAGCCGAUGUCGGAUUAGCUAGUUGGCGGGGUAAAGGCCCACCAAGGCGACGAUCCGUAGCUGGUCUGAGAGGAUGAUCAGCCACACUGGAACUGAGACACGGUCCAGGCUCCUACGGGAGGCAGCAGUGGGGAAUAUUGGACAAUGGGCGCAAGCCUGAUCCAGCCAUACCGCGUGGGUGAAGAAGGCCUUCGGGUUGUAAGGCCCUUUUGUUGGGAAAGAAAUCCAGCUGGCUAAUACCCGGUUGGGAUGACGGUACCCAAAGAAUAAGCACCGGCUAACUUCGUGCCAGCCGCCGCCGUAA
RNAcentral lists this ribosomal RNA (506 nucleotides) under uncultured bacterium. RNAcentral's name for it is "partial 16S ribosomal RNA". It matches the Rfam family "Bacterial small subunit ribosomal RNA", at positions 28 to 523 of the family's 1533-position model. The record is from RNAcentral.